RNAcentral lists this ribosomal RNA (251 nucleotides) under uncultured bacterium. RNAcentral's name for it is "partial 16S ribosomal RNA". It matches the Rfam family "Bacterial small subunit ribosomal RNA", at positions 525 to 775 of the family's 1533-position model. RNAcentral also lists the same sequence under 1 other name. The record is from RNAcentral.
ACGUAGGUGGCAAGCGUUGUCCGGAUUUAUUGGGCGUAAAGCGAGCGCAGGCGGAAAAAUAAGUCUAAUGUGAAAGCCCUCGGCUUAACCGAGGAACUGCAUCGGAAACUGUUUUUCUUGAGUGCAGAAGAGGAGAGUGGAACUCCAUGUGUAGCGGUGGAAUGCGUAGAUAUAUGGAAGAACACCAGUGGCGAAGGCGGCUCUCUGGUCUGCAACUGACGCUGAGGCUCGAAAGCAUGGGUAGCGAACAG